This 823-nucleotide ribosomal RNA is filed under the name uncultured bacterium. RNAcentral describes it as "bacterial SSU rRNA". It matches the Rfam family "Bacterial small subunit ribosomal RNA", at positions 636 to 1458 of the family's 1533-position model. The record is from RNAcentral.
UNUGACUUGAGUGCAGAAGGGGAGAGUGGAAUUCCAUGUGUAGCGGUGAAAUGCGUAGAUAUAUGGAGGAACACCAGUGGCGAAAGCGGCUCUCUGGUCUGUCACUGACGCUGAGGCUCGAAAGCGUGGGUAGCGAACAGGAUUAGAUACCCUGGUAGUCCACGCCGUAAACGAUGAGUGCUAGGUGUUAGGCCCUUUCCGGGGCUUAGUGCCGGAGCUAACGCAAUAAGCACUCCGCCUGGGGAGUACGACCGCAAGGUUGAAACUCAAAGGAAUUGACGGGGGCCCGCACAAGCGGUGGAGCAUGUGGUUUAAUUCGAAGCAACGCGAAGAACCUUACCAGGUCUUGACAUCCCGAUGCUAUUCUUAGAGAUAGGAAGGUACUUCGGUACAUCGGAGACAGGUGGUGCAUGGUUGUCGUCAGCUCGUGUCGUGAGAUGUUGGGUUAAGUCCCGCAACGAGCGCAACCCUUAUUGUUAGUUGCCAUCAUUAAGUUGGGCACUCUAGCGAGACUGCCGGUAAUAAACCGGAGGAAGGUGGGGAUGACGUCAAAUCAUCAUGCCCCUUAUGACCUGGGCUACACACGUGCUACAAUGGUCGGUACAACGAGUUGCGAGCCGGUGACGGCAAGCUAAUCUCUGAAAGCCGAUCUCAGUCCGGAUUGGAGGCUGCAACUCGCCUCCAUGAAGUCGGAAUCGCUAGUAAUCGCGGAUCAGCACGCCGCGGUGAAUACGUUCCCGGGCCUUGUACACACCGCCCGUCACACCACGAGAGUUUGUAACACCCGAAGUCGGUGAGGUAACCUUUUAGGGGCCAGCCGCCU